CAGGUGGACAGACAGACUGUAGACAUGACAGGUGGACAGACUGUAGACAUGACAGGUGGACAGACUGUAGACAUGACAGGUGGACAGACAGUGUCGGCAGCCGCGCUGGUAAACAGGGAGUGAAUGAUCUGUGCUAGGUGGUGAUUGGGCAGCUACAGGGAGUGAAUGAUCCGUGCUAGGUGGUGAUUGGGCAGCUACAGGGAGUGAAUGAUCCGUGCUAGGUGGUGAUUGGGCAGCUACAGGGAGUGAAUGAUCCGUGCUAGGUGGUGAUUGGGCCCCCUGCCAACUGAUAGAAGUCGAACCUGAUCAUCCUUUCC
This is a long non-coding RNA of Oncorhynchus tshawytscha (Chinook salmon), 317 nucleotides long. The record is from Ensembl. Lineage: Eukaryota; Metazoa; Chordata; Actinopteri; Salmoniformes; Salmonidae.